AUGCGAUAAGUAGUGUGAAUUGCAGAAUUCAGUGAAUCAUCGAAUCUUUGAACGCACAUUGCGCCCCUUGGUAUUCCAUGGGGCAUGCCUGUUCGAGCGUCAUUUGUACCUUCAAGCUUUGCUUGGUGUUGGGUGUUUGUCCUGAGGGACUCGCCUUAAAGUAAUUGGCAGCCAGUGUUUGGUUUUGAAGCGCAGCACAAGUCGCGAUUCAAAGCUAUACGCCCGCUUCCACAAGCCUUUUUCACUUUUGACCUCGGAUCAGGUAGGGAUACCCGCUGAACUUAA
Molecule: unclassified non-coding RNA, 285 nt
Filed under: uncultured Paraphoma
Lineage: Eukaryota; Fungi; Ascomycota; Dothideomycetes; Pleosporales; Phaeosphaeriaceae
Description: partial contains 5.8S ribosomal RNA, internal transcribed spacer 2, and large subunit ribosomal RNA
Rfam family: 5.8S ribosomal RNA (bases 1-102)
Source: RNAcentral